Molecule: ribosomal RNA, 529 nt
Filed under: Pseudomonas fluorescens
Lineage: Bacteria; Pseudomonadati; Pseudomonadota; Gammaproteobacteria; Pseudomonadales; Pseudomonadaceae
Description: bacterial SSU rRNA
Rfam family: Bacterial small subunit ribosomal RNA
Source: RNAcentral
CGGAUUAGCUAGUUGGUGAGGUAAUGGCUCACCAAGGCGACGAUCCGUAACUGGUCUGAGAGGAUGAUCAGUCACACUGGAACUGAGACACGGUCCAGACUCCUACGGGAGGCAGCAGUGGGGAAUAUUGGACAAUGGGCGAAAGCCUGAUCCAGCCAUGCCGCGUGUGUGAAGAAGGUCUUCGGAUUGUAAAGCACUUUAAGUUGGGAGGAAGGGCAGUUACCUAAUACGUAAUUGUUUUGACGUUACCGACAGAAUAAGCACCGGCUAACUCUGUGCCAGCAGCCGCGGUAAUACAGAGGGUGCAAGCGUUAAUCGGAAUUACUGGGCGUAAAGCGCGCGUAGGUGGUUCGUUAAGUUGGAUGUGAAAGCCCCGGGCUCAACCUGGGAACUGCAUUCAAAACUGUCGAGCUAGAGUAUGGUAGAGGGUGGGUGGAAUUUCCUGUGUAGCGGUGAAAUGCGUAGAUAUAGGAAGGAACACCAGUGGCGAAGGCGACCACCUGGACUGAUACUGACACUGAGGUGCGAA